UCCUGUAGCCCAAGACUGGUUGCCCACUGAAGCUAAGCAGGGCUGAGCCUGGUCAGUGAUGGGAGAAUGGGACCUCCCAUGGGACCUGGAUGGGAGACCUCCUGGGAAAACUAGGUUGCUGCUGGAA
This 127-nucleotide ribosomal RNA is filed under the name Sinocyclocheilus rhinocerous. The record is from RNAcentral. Lineage: Eukaryota; Metazoa; Chordata; Actinopteri; Cypriniformes; Cyprinidae.